RNAcentral lists this ribosomal RNA (252 nucleotides) under uncultured bacterium. RNAcentral's name for it is "partial 16S ribosomal RNA". It matches the Rfam family "Bacterial small subunit ribosomal RNA", at positions 524 to 776 of the family's 1533-position model. The record is from RNAcentral.
UACGUAGGGGGCAAGCGUUAUCCGGAAUUAUUGGGCGUAAAGCGAGCGCAGGUGGUUUAUUAAGUCUGGUGUAAAAGGCAGUGGCUCAACCAUUGUAUGCAUUGGAAACUGGUAGACUUGAGUGCAGGAGAGGAGAGUGGAAUUCCAUGUGUAGCGGUGAAAUGCGUAGAUAUAUGGAGGAACACCGGUGGCGAAAGCGGCUCUCUGGCCUGUAACUGACACUGAGGCUCGAAAGCGUGGGGAGCAAACAGG